CAUCUUACAGUGGAAAAGUGCCAGAUACAGGGGAAACGGGAAACGGUCGCCGAAUGGAUCAGCUGCCUGGUUGACUCGUGGUCAUGGCACCAAAUUUCCACAUCCGUGGAACCACCGAUCUUUGCCCGCUGGAAUGCCAUAUGAAGCCCCUCCCAGUCUCCUCUUCCUCGUCCAUCAUAUUACCAUAAUGCAUCAUCUGUUCAUCAUCCCCGUUCUGCUCCUCCUCGCCGGAGCUGCAGCCGACGUCUACCCGGCUGUCUGCAGCAACGCCACCUGCGGCGGCCACAGCAUCACCUACCCGUUCUGGCUCGCUCACUCAGGGCCCAACUGCGGCUACCCGGGCCUGGGCCUCCUCUGCGUGGACGACGCUCCGAUCCUCGACAUCCAGUUCCACCAGUACAGAGUCCUGCGCAUCGACUACGCCAACCACACCGUCUCCCUCGCCGACGUCGACGCGUGGAACAAGACGUGCCCACGGCUCAGCUACAGCCUCGCCGUCGACCCCAACGCCUGGCUGCAGCUCACGCCGUCCAACUCCGAGCUCGCCUUCCUCUACAACUGCAAGACCGACGACGUUUCCAGGCACACCUCCGCCGUGAGACUCGACGGGUGCGUCCCGGAAGAACAGAACAUGAGCAAUUGGUACGUGUUCCCGGAUAACACGAUCACGACGGGCAGGUACGGGCUGGCCUAUGGAUGCGAGAAGACGGUGGUGACGCCGGUGCUACUGAGCUCGCAUAAUCGGCUGAUGAUCAACCCGGUUCUCGGUGUCGGUGAGGCGCUGAGCGACGGGUUCGAGAUGAGUUACGGCGCCAGAUCCGAGCAGUGCGGCGCCUGCGAGCGGUCCGGCGGGCGGUGCAGGUACGGGCGCAUCGAGCAGCACGGCGGCACGGAGUUCGCUUGCUUCUGCGCCGAUGGCGGGUGCGGGGAUGCCCGCCCUUUAAGCUUGAAGAGAUGGAAAUUGUUUAAGCAAUAUCUCUCAAUCUGGAGUUCCUUCUUAUUUGCGUUCAUAUAAUCUAUUGUAUAAUUGAAACAAUAGGACAACAAGCCACCACAAUCAUCCACAUAGAGAUUAGUCUGUUUUUGGCAUGCUUUUUUAGUUCUAAGUACAUGCAGUUGUACUUUUUUUUUUGCUCGUUGUAUUUUUUUUAUAUCUUCAACUCAAGUGAAAUCUUAAAUGUUGAACAUCAAGAGAAUACAUGUGUUUUUUAUUACAAUUGUUUUCCUUUAGUGUAUAUGUUUAUUGGCCAGGUGCGCG
Molecule: RNA transcript, 1258 nt
Organism: Brachypodium distachyon (stiff brome)
Lineage: Eukaryota; Viridiplantae; Streptophyta; Magnoliopsida; Poales; Poaceae
Gene name: LEAF RUST 10 DISEASE-RESISTANCE LOCUS RECEPTOR-LIKE PROTEIN KINASE-like 2.7
Exons: 3
Source: RefSeq, a predicted model, not a curated record